AUACGGAGGAUCCAAGCGUUAUCCGGAUUUAUUGGGUUUAAAGGGUGCGCAGGCGGCCUUAUAAGUCAGUGGUGAAAUCUCCCGGCUCAACCGGGAAACUGCCAUUGAUACUGUAAGGCUAGAAUACAUACGAGGUAGGCGGAAUGUAGCAUGUAGCGGUGAAAUGCUUAGAUAUGCUACAGAACACCAAUCGCGAAGGCAGCUUACCAGACUGUAAUUGACGCUAAGGCACGAAAGCGUGGGGAGCGAACAGAAUUAGAUACCCCUGUAGUCC
RNAcentral lists this ribosomal RNA (274 nucleotides) under uncultured bacterium. Its description in RNAcentral is "partial 16S ribosomal RNA". It matches the Rfam family "Bacterial small subunit ribosomal RNA", at positions 523 to 796 of the family's 1533-position model. The record is from RNAcentral.